This 253-nucleotide ribosomal RNA is filed under the name uncultured bacterium. Its description in RNAcentral is "partial 16S ribosomal RNA". It matches the Rfam family "Bacterial small subunit ribosomal RNA", at positions 524 to 776 of the family's 1533-position model. The record is from RNAcentral.
UACGUAGGGACCGAGCGUUGUCCGGAAUCAUUGGGCGUAAAGAGCGUGUAGGCGGCUUGCUAAGUCUUGCGUGAAAUCUCGGGGCUCAACCCCGAGCGGUCGUGGGAAACUGGCAGGCUAGAGUGCGGGAGAGGAGAAUGGAAUUCCUGGUGUAGCGGUGAAAUGCGCAGAUAUCAGGAAGAACACCAGUGGCGAAGGCGGCCGACUGGUCCGGUUCUGACGCUGAGGCGCGAAAGCGUGGGGAGCAAACAGG